CCCAAAAAACACUGGUCAAGUGUGUGUUUUUACUUUAGAAAAUGUUGUGGAGGCAGAAAUUGUCUUCUCUUAUAGGUAGGCUCUGUCAACACCAAAUGCAUUAAUGUCAAUGGCAACCUUUGACAAUCUGAUUUUUUAUUUUCCAAAGGAUAACUAGCACUCAUCCAAUGUAUAUCUGGCGCUCCUGUGGCAAAAAAGGCUGCAUGGUGUUCUAUCACUGACAGCUUCACACAGCCAACACCACUGAAGGCCUUCCGUAUGCUGGGAUAUACGCUGCCACCUUGUUCAUCCUGGUGUUGUGAUGUUGGUUAGUGCCUCCUUCAUUCUCUCACGGGUCAAUGUGUACCGCCGGACGAUCUGACGUAUGUGCUCUUCCUCCUCUCGCUGAAGGAUCCUCAGAAAAUUGUGAAGCUCGGGCAUCGUAAAGGCAUCCCACUGUGGAGAAAACAACUCAGGGAUUUCUCACUGGGCCCCGCACACAAACGCAACUGAAGAGGGCAUUCGUCAUCAGCUAGUUUCCGGCGAAUUUAGCGGGAUUAUCCACCACUGUGAACUUGUUCAACAGAGCUUCAAUAACCUCACGGGCACAUGUGUGGGAACUGAUGUGGAG
This is a long non-coding RNA of Alosa sapidissima (American shad), 610 nucleotides long. RefSeq lists it as uncharacterized. Lineage: Eukaryota; Metazoa; Chordata; Actinopteri; Clupeiformes; Clupeidae. The record is from RefSeq and is a predicted model, not a curated record. The transcript is spliced from 4 exons.